This 38-nucleotide ribosomal RNA is filed under the name Sphaerulina musiva. RNAcentral's name for it is "partial 28S ribosomal RNA". Lineage: Eukaryota; Fungi; Ascomycota; Dothideomycetes; Mycosphaerellales; Mycosphaerellaceae. The record is from RNAcentral. RNAcentral also lists the same sequence under 17 other names.
GUUGACCUCGGAUCAGGUAGGGAUACCCGCUGAACUUA